GAUGAACGCUGGCGGCGUGCUUAACACAUGCAAGUCGGACGAAGCACUUUAUUUGAUUUCCUUCGGGACUGAUUAUUUUGUGACUGAGUGGCGGACGGGUGAGUAACGCGUGGGUAACCUGCCUUGUACAGGGGGAUAACAGUUGGAAACGGCUGCUAAUACCGCAUAAGCGCACGGCAUCGCAUGAUGCAGUGUGAAAAACUCCGGUGGUAUAAGAUGGACCCGCGUUGGAUUAGCUAGUUGGUGAGGUAACGGCCCACCAAGGCGACGAUCCAUAGCCGACCUGAGAGGGUGACCGGCCACAUUGGGACUGAGACACGGCCCAAACUCCUACGGGAGGCAGCAGUGGGGAAUAUUGCACAAUGGGCGAAAGCCUGAUGCAGCGACGCCGCGUGAGCGAAGAAGUAUUUCGGUAUGUAAAGCUCUAUCAGCAGGGAAGAUAAUGACGGUACCUGACUAAGAAGCACCGGCUAAAUACGUG
Molecule: ribosomal RNA, 481 nt
Filed under: uncultured bacterium
Lineage: Bacteria
Description: partial 16S ribosomal RNA
Rfam family: Bacterial small subunit ribosomal RNA
Source: RNAcentral